UACGGGAGGCAGCAGUGGGGAAUAUUGCACAAUGGGCGCAAGCCUGAUGCAGCCAUGCCGCGUGUAUGAAGAAGGCCUUCGGGUUGUAAAGUACUUUCAGCGGGGAGGAAGGCGAUGUGGUUAAUAACCGCAUCGAUUGACGUUACCCGCAGAAGAAGCACCGGCUAACUCCGUGCCAGCAGCCGCGGUAAUACGGAGGGUGCAAGCGUUAAUCGGAAUUACUGGGCGUAAAGCGCACGCAGGCGGUCUGUCAAGUCGGAUGUGAAAUCCCCGGGCUUAACCUGGGAACUGCAUUCGAAACUGGCAGGCUAGAGUCUUGUAGAGGGGGUAGAAUUCCAGGUGUAGCGGUGAAAUGCGUAGAGAUCUGGAGGAAUACCGGUGGCGAAGGCGGCCCCUGGACAAAGCUGACGCUCAGGUGCGAAAGCGUGGGGAGCAAACAGGGAUUAGAUAACCCGU
RNAcentral lists this ribosomal RNA (456 nucleotides) under uncultured bacterium. Its description in RNAcentral is "bacterial SSU rRNA". It matches the Rfam family "Bacterial small subunit ribosomal RNA", at positions 340 to 790 of the family's 1533-position model. The record is from RNAcentral.